This 359-nucleotide ribosomal RNA is filed under the name Alexandrium margalefii. RNAcentral describes it as "partial Bacterial large subunit ribosomal RNA". It matches the Rfam family "Bacterial large subunit ribosomal RNA", at positions 1359 to 1812 of the family's 2925-position model. Lineage: Eukaryota; Dinophyceae; Gonyaulacales; Pyrocystaceae. The record is from RNAcentral.
GGAAGGUAAAUCCGCCCAGGGUUAGCCGGGUCCUAAGGCGAGGCCGAAAGGCGUAGUCGAUGGAUAGCAGGUUAAUAUUCCUGCGCACCUGUUGAGAUCAAAGCACAGUGCGGAUCUCCAAGCUCUUCUGGACUGUUAGACGUCCAGGCCUUCGGGCCGUUGAAGGGGGAGGGGGUUCCUAGAAAAGCUGUGUGGGCAAUACAGGUCCCGUACUAAAACUGACACAGGUAGACGAGGCGAAUAGCCUCAGGCGCUCGAGAGAAUGGUCGUGAAGGAAUUAGGCAAAAUCACUCCGUAAGUUCGCGAGAAGGAGGCCCUUCGGGGCGCAGAGAAAAGGCCCUGGCAACUGUUUAUCAAAA